UUGGAGGGCAAGUCUGGUGCCAGCAGCCGCGGUAAUUCCAGCUCCAAUAGCGUAUAUUAAAGUUGUUGCAGUUAAAAAGCUCGUAGUUGAAUUUCGGGAUCAGUAGGUUGGUCGUGCCACUGGUACGUACUGGUCUCACUGAUUCCUCCUUCCUGAUGAGCUGUAAUGCCAUUAAUUUGGUGUUGCAGGGAAUCUGGACUGUUACUUUGAAAAAAUUAGAGUGUUUAAAGCAGGCUAACGCUUGAAUACAUUAGCAUGGAAUAAUGAAAUAGGACGUUCGAUCCUAUUUUGUUGGUUUCUAGGAUUGAUGUAAUGAUUAAUAGGGAUAGUUGGGGGCAUUAGUAUUCAAUUGUCAGAGGUGAAAUUCUUGGAUUUAUUGAAGACUAACUACUGCGAAAGCAUUUGCCAAGGAUGUUUUUAUUAAUCAAGAACGAAAGUUAGGGGAUCGAAGACGAUCAGAUACCGUCGUAGUCUUAACCAUAAAUUAUGCCGACUAGGGAUCGGAUGAUGUUAAUUUUUUAAUGACUCAUUCGGCGCCUUACGGGAAAC
This 549-nucleotide ribosomal RNA is filed under the name uncultured Glomus. RNAcentral describes it as "SSU rRNA". It matches the Rfam family "Eukaryotic small subunit ribosomal RNA", at positions 548 to 1098 of the family's 1831-position model. The record is from RNAcentral. Lineage: Eukaryota; Fungi; Glomeromycota; Glomeromycetes; Glomerales; Glomeraceae.